RNAcentral lists this transfer RNA (64 nucleotides) under Muscidifurax similadanacus. RNAcentral's name for it is "tRNA-Phe". Lineage: Eukaryota; Metazoa; Arthropoda; Insecta; Hymenoptera; Pteromalidae. The record is from RNAcentral.
AUUUAAAUAGUUUAAAUAAAACAUAAUAUUGAAGAUAUUAAAAUAAUAUACUUAUUUUUAAAUA